Molecule: long non-coding RNA, 1386 nt
Filed under: Sarcophilus harrisii (Tasmanian devil)
Lineage: Eukaryota; Metazoa; Chordata; Mammalia; Dasyuromorphia; Dasyuridae
Description: lncRNA (ENSSHAG00000025878.1)
Source: RNAcentral
GGAAUGUGGUGGGAGCGAUCAAGGGGCAAACAGAUUCCUUCUCCUGGCCCAAUUUAGGGUUAGAAUGAGGAAAAACUCACUAAUAUUUCAUAGAGUGGUCAGAGAUGGGGAAUUUUCUGGAUUUUGUCAAGUUUUCAAAAAAUGCCAGAGGAACUACAGGAUGUCAUAUGAAGUGUAGAAUGAAUGGGAUUUUGGAUACUAAUUUCUGAAACAUCUUAGAAUCUCUGAUAAAAAGUCUAGGGACAUGGAAGCUGUAGGUCUGGUUGCACAAUUUAAGCAGGACCUCACCUAUGGCAUUUAUUUGAACUAUUUCACUAAGUCGGUGACUGUUUCCUGUGAGGACAACUUUUGUUAAGCAUGUCUGCCUGGUGCUGUGAGGAAGCCUCCACACCAAACAUUUGCCCGAAGUUUAAGGAAACGAAUGAAUCUGCAUACUUUAUUGCAAAUGGUAGAUUGCCUAAUCUAAGUAUCACUGGCAAAUUGGCUACUGAUGGUAGGAAUAAGCUUCUCUGAAGAACAUCACAAGGCCCAGGAGCUUUUCUGUGAAGAUGAUCAGAGGCUUCUCUGAGAAGCUCCAGGAAACCUGGAAUAAUGUGAAGACAAAACCAAGGGAUACUGAAAUUGUAAUCAACAAUAAGAAAAUAAAUAUACAAAACUGUAAGCUGAGGGUGAAAAACGACAUCUAGAAUACCUGGAAAAUCAUAGGAAAAAAAACUUGGAGGAACUGGUGAAGAAUGAAGCCCAAGUGUCUCGGCAUAUGCAGCACUCGCAAAAGAAGACUGGAGAUGUAGAGGAUUACUUUAAAAAACCAGACUCAGAGAUGCUUUUGAAGCAGACAAAUGAAGCUUUCUGGGUAAAGCAGAAACACAAUUUCUCCCUUGUGGUUUGGCCUUUUGGAAGCUACUGCCUAGACAAGUGGGGCAUCUGAUAUUUCAUUUCAUCUACCAAUGCUUCUUCAGAUUAAUGAAGAAAUCCUCUGUUCAAGAAGACAUAAAAUUGCUAGAAAUAGGGUCUCAGGGACCUGCCUAUGCUGGCCAGCUUCCCUAGGCGAUGGUUGAGUUCUAUGUCUCUCAUGUGGAAGGGUCUCCUGCACAGAGGACAGGGGCAUGGUCUGUCAUCUUCUCCCCAGCUCCUGAGGAGGCAGAUGCGACAAAAGUUAUGACCACAGCUCAAGGUUACUGGGUGUCUGAAAUAAUCCAUGCAUACAGAGCAGGUCAGCUCUUCCUUGAAGUUUUCAGCUAAAUGCACUUCAUCCAUGAUCCUGAGUAGAAUUAAAAAAAAAACAAAACAAAACAAAAAAAAAACAAAUGAGUCUCCUGAAGAAGUGGAGGGAAGCAGCACCUUCCUCCUUAAGCUGAUUCACUUCCUUCAGAAAUUCAAUUUCAC